AGUGAACGCUGGCGGUAGGCCUAACACAUGCAAGUCGAACGGCAGCACAGUAAGAGCUUGCUCUUACGGGUGGCGAGUGGCGGACGGGUGAGGAAUACAUCGGAAUCUACUUUUUCGUGGGGGAUAACGUAGGGAAACUUACGCUAAUACCGCAUACGACCUACGGGUGAAGGCAGGGGAUCUUCGGACCUUGCGCGAUUGAAUGAGACGAUGUCGGAUUAGCUAGUUGGCGGGGUAAAGGCCCACCAAGGCGACGAUCCGUAGCUGGUCUGAGAGGAUGAUCAGCCACACUGGAACUGAGACACGGUCCAGACUCCUACGGGAGGCAGCAGUGGGGAAUAUUGGACAAUGGGCGCAAGCCUGAUCCAGCCAUACCGCGUGGGUGAAGAAGGCCUUCGGGUUGUAAAGCCCUUUUGUUGGGAAAGAAAAGCAGCAGGUUAAUACCCCGCUGUUCUGACGGUACCCAAAGAAUAAGCACCGGCUAACUUCGUG
This 492-nucleotide ribosomal RNA is filed under the name uncultured bacterium. Its description in RNAcentral is "partial 16S ribosomal RNA". It matches the Rfam family "Bacterial small subunit ribosomal RNA", at positions 29 to 507 of the family's 1533-position model. The record is from RNAcentral.